GUCCGAGUGCUGGAAUUGGUAGACAGGGCGAGCUUAAGUUUCGCUGGUUUUAAGCCAUAAACGUUCAAGUCGUUUCUUGGAUA
RNAcentral lists this transfer RNA (83 nucleotides) under Bacidia sp. RNAcentral describes it as "tRNA-Leu". The record is from RNAcentral. Lineage: Eukaryota; Fungi; Ascomycota; Lecanoromycetes; Lecanorales; Ramalinaceae.